UGUUGCGAUCAUACCAGCUAUAAUGCACUGGAUCCCAUCAGAACUCCGCAGUUAGGCAUGCUUAGGCGAGAGUAGUACUGGUAUGGGUCACGUCCUGGGAAGUCCUCGUGUUGCACCCC
Molecule: ribosomal RNA, 119 nt
Filed under: Cephalotus follicularis
Lineage: Eukaryota; Viridiplantae; Streptophyta; Magnoliopsida; Oxalidales; Cephalotaceae
Source: RNAcentral